RNAcentral lists this ribosomal RNA (1272 nucleotides) under metagenome. RNAcentral's name for it is "bacterial LSU rRNA". It matches the Rfam family "Bacterial large subunit ribosomal RNA", at positions 1638 to 2925 of the family's 2925-position model. The record is from RNAcentral.
AUGCCUGUACCAUAACCGACACAGGUGGGUAGGUAGAGUAUACUAAGGGGCGCGAGAUAACUCUCUCUAAGGAACUCGGCAAAAUGACUCCGUAACUUCGGGAGAAGGAGUGCCUUAUUUAUAAGGUUGCAAUAACAAGAUCCAAGCAACUGUUUAUCAAAAACACAGGUCUCCGCUAAGUCGUAAGACGAUGCAUGGGGGCUGACGCCUGCCCAGUGCCAGAAGGUUAAAGAAGUUGGUUAGUGUAUGCGAAGCUGGUGACUGAAGCCCUGGUGAACGGCGGCCGUAACUAUAACGGUCCUAAGGUAGCGAAAUUCCUUGUCGGGUAAGUUCCGACCCGCACGAAAGGCGUAAUGAUUUGGAUACUGUCUCGGAGAGAGGCUCGGUGAAAUAGACUUGUCUGUGAAGAUGCGGACUACCUGCACCAGGACAGGAAGACCCUAUGAAGCUUUACUGUAACUUGGAAUUGGAAUUGGACUUUGCUUGCGCAGUAUAGGUGGGAAGCGUUGAAGAUAUUCUUGCGGGAGUAUUGGAGCUAUCAGUGAGAUACCACUCUUGUAAUGUUAGAUUUCUAACUUUGAACCAUAAUCUGGUCAAAGAACAGUUUCAGGUGGGCAGUUUGACUGGGGCGGUCGCCUCCCAAAUGGUAACGGAGGCGUACAAAGGUUUCCUCUGAACGGAUAGAAAUCGUAUCUAGAGUGUAAAGGCAUAAGGAAGCUUGACUGUGAGACCUACAAGUCGAGCAGGGACGAAAGUCGGUCUUAGUGAUCUGACGGUACUGAGUGGAAAGGCCGUCACUCAACGGAUAAAAGUUACUCUAGGAUAACAGGCUGAUCUCCCCCAAGAGUUCACAUCGACGGGGAGGUUUGGCACCUCGAUGUCGGCUCAUCGCAUCCUGGGGCGGUAGUACGUCCCAAGGGUUGGGCUGUUCGCCCAUGAAAGCGGUACGCGAGCUGGGUUCAGAACGUCGUGAGACAGUUCGGUCCAUAUCCGGUGUAGGCGUUAGAAUAUUGAGAGGAGCCUUCUUUAGUACGAGAGGACCGAGAAGGACACACCGCUGGUGUACCAGUUAUCGUGCCAACGGUAAACGCUGGGUAGCUAUGUGUGGAGUGGAUAACCGCUGAAAGCAUCUAAGUGAGAAGCCCACCUCAAGAUGAGUAUUCCCAUGGCGUUAGCCAGUAAGGUCACGGGCAGAACACCCGUUGAUAGGCUCUACGUGGAAGCCGGGCAACCGGUGAAGCGGAGGAAUACUAAUAGACCGAGGGCUUGACC